This 497-nucleotide ribosomal RNA is filed under the name uncultured bacterium. RNAcentral's name for it is "partial 16S ribosomal RNA". It matches the Rfam family "Bacterial small subunit ribosomal RNA", at positions 28 to 507 of the family's 1533-position model. The record is from RNAcentral.
GAUGAACGCUGGCGGCGUGCUUAAUACAUGCAAGUCGAACGAAAAGGUGAUGAGUUUGUGCCGCUCACGUGUGGCGCGGGCGGGGGAGAAACACGUGGAAAAUCCACCUGUAUUUCUGGUAAAACCUGGGGAAACCGGAUCAUAUACCGGAGGAUAUACUGCAGCACGUUGGUGAUUGGUAAAAUACGGUUUUUGUGGCUGUUAUAGAGGGUUCCCAGCUGCAUUAGCUAGUUGGUAAGGUAACGGGCUUCCAAGGGUACGAGGCGUAGCCGACCUGAGGGGGUGAUAGGCCACACUGGAACUGAGACACGGUCCAGACUCCUACGGGAGGCAGCAGUAGGGAAUCUUCCGCAAUGGGCGAAAGCCUGACGGAGCAACGCCGCGUGAGUGAUGAAGGUCUUCGGAUCGUAAAACUCUGUUAUUAGGGAAGAACAAAUGUGUAAGUAACUAUGCACGUCUUGACGGUACCUAAUCAGAAAGCCACGGCUAACUACGUG